UGUAGAAUAUUGCAUAUUCUAUGUUUCUAUUGAUUAUAUAUGGAUGUGUGGAUUGACAUAAGUAACAGAUGGUAUAAGUCACAAGGCUUUCUUUGUCCGAGAGCUCUGGAAUGUGGAUGUGGGGGUUUUGUCCUUAUAUGGCUAGAGUUAAAUGCUGACGUUAGUAUUAGCACAUCUUUAUAGUAACAGAGGGACACGAGGU
Pelobates cultripes (western spadefoot toad) is the source of this 202-nucleotide non-coding RNA. NCBI's taxonomy places the organism in Eukaryota, Metazoa, Chordata, Amphibia, Anura, Pelobatidae. The record is from the annotation of a GenBank genome assembly.